GCUCGUUCAUGUCUAUGUAGAGCGAGCAAGCGCGACCCCGACGCUGACUUUCGUUGACUUAACAGCCACAGGUGUCGCUGUUAACAAGCAUUUCUGAAAGUUACAAAUAGUCCCUUUAAGAUAAAGGUAGACAAAAGCAGGCAUCUCAUUUCUAGCUGACAGCUGUUGAUUUUGCAGGUUGAAAGGUUGAAACUGUCACCCACAGACCUCAGCUGUACCUAGCCAACUUGUGGAGCUCAUUUUAAAAAGAGAAGCCUGUAGAUGGGUUUUAUAUAGCACCCGAUUCGACUGUUAUCAGGCCAUUAAAUAGGCAUUAUCAGUCACUAUAAGCACCAUAGAUGUGGGUCAUUAGGGGCUUACUACACCUACUACGUUAUAAGUGAAAAGCAAAACUUAAAAGCUGUGUGUUUAAGGAAAAACAUUUUGUUUUUGCCCUAAAAUAACUACGUUUCAAAAGUGAAAGCGUAAUUUAAUGCUGUGAACAAAAAGACAACUACACCUGGUUGGUUUCACAUGGGAUGCAAAUCCCCGUUCUCCUGGGUGAAAACCCUGUUUUUUGUGUCCCAUCUGUCACCCCUGAUUUUCACGCUGUCUUUACUACAGCGCCUGACUUCCGAUCCUGCUCCUGUCAUAAUGACUAUGGUCACUAGAGGUCGCUAUUGUGUCCUUAUAUACCUUCUCUCAGUGAUCUACCAUGUAAAUAUAUGACAAAACGUAAUAUUGGGUGUAGUAGGCCCUAUUGACCCACAUCUAUGGGGCUUAUAGCGACUGAUAACGCCUAUUUAAUAGCCUGACACUUGAUGGCUACGAUAUCAUGCUGAAAGACUGAGGCUAAAACUGUACGUCCCAGGACCAGAGUUGCCCCAAAAGUCAGCAUCCUGAUGUAGAACAUGGAAAUAAAGAAAGUGACGACGAUCUCAUGCCAUGACUAAAGCUCCUUUUUCCAUUUCCCAUAGUUGAUACUUCCUCUUAGUGUCCACAAGCAUCUACACUGAUAGCUAAUUUAAAAACUCCAGUUCAUCUGACACGCAUAUCUUGCAUUUGAAGAAACCGUAGCAUCCUUAAAAAGCCCAGAGCAAACAAACUCCAUUUAGAAAGGAGCAGGGCUCAGCUGUGAUUGAGCAGUGAUUUUUUAAAAUUUAACAAGCGAGGAAGGCCACGCGGGGGCAUCUCUUUCUGUCAGGGUUACUCUAGCCCAUUAUGAGGAUAAAUGCAUCAUUAAAAAGGAUAUUCGCUUUCAGCUUUCUUCAAAUCACUCUGAGAUUGUUAGGGAGGAAAUGAAAUCUCAUAAAGCUGGUAGGGAAGAGCCAAGGGUGGGAGAAGAGGACUUGGAGAUACAGAAUGAGGAAGAUCAGGUCAGAGGAGGUCAAAAAGUAAUGCGAAGAAACUUAAUAAAACUUGAAAGCAGAAGAAUCAGCACGUGGCAAACUUUGUCUGCAGUUUGGUGCCAUGUAGGCAGUUUUUUUUUUAGGUUCUUGGCUAAAAGCAUCCGCCUGCUGUGACCGAGAAAUGAUGCUGAUGAAAGCGGAGAGACUAAACCAAAACUGUAAAGUUGUGGUCCAGUGUCUUCCACUACACGUGUGUUUAUACAUAUGCAUGUGUUUGCAGAUGCAUCUCUCUAUAUCAGCCUGUGUGACAGCCGGGUCAUUGUCCUGUCAGUCCUCGGCAGAGUAAUGAGCUGAAAUGCGCCUCUUAAGCUUCCUUUUCGGUUUUUCCUUUCCCCCCCCUCCCUCGCUCGAUAUCCCAGAGAGAGGAAUGUUUCCUCGGCGGCUAUUAGAGCGGUCAGAGCAGAUCGUAUCUCUGCGGUUGACUUUAUUAGAGGAUGAUUGUACAGACAGAAUAGAGCUAAGUUCAGCCGUCAUGCAGAGACGAAGAUCAAGUCUAAAGGAGCGGACAGAGAAAGAAUUUGUAACAUUAGUCAUCUGAGAUAAAGAGUGGCAAUGAGUAACGUGCGAAGUGGAAUCGGAAGAUGUGGAGGAAGAGAGAGGAAAGGGCUCAUCUUCAUUGUCGCCAUUAGUACAUUCACUUAUGACAACUGACAGGGAAAGGGACAUUGUGUAAGAGUGGGAAUGAGCAAACGAGUGGAAAGGAGAAACAAUGGGUUAGAGAGAGUGUAAGGAGGAUGAUGUUUGACAGAAAGAAUAGUAAAGAAUGAAAAUGAGUUUUUUCUGCCCAAUGAAUUGUGAAAUAUAACUUUUGAAGUAUGCAGGAUAAGCUUAAAACUACCAAAUUAAAACCAGAAGUUUAAACUUUAAAUUAAAAUUGUAUUUAGCUAUUAUUUCUAGAACAACAAACAACCGAGAACACAACCAUACAGAAAAUAUUCACAAAAUUUACACUAAAAAAAAAUUGUGUUUGUGGUCCUUGUUUGGUCGGUCAAGGGAAGACGGAGUCUGAGCAUAAUCUAUGGCAACUUCCACCUUUUUUCUGCCCAAAUUAAGUGCUAAAUAUGGCUUUUGAAGUAUACAGGGUAAAGCUUAAAACUACCAAAUUAAAACCAGAAGUUUAAACUUUAAAUUUUAUUUAGUUAUAUUUCUAAAUCUAACAAACGAGAACACAACCAUAAAGAAAACAUUCACAAAAUGUACGCUCCAGACAGUGUUUUUUUUGGUCGGUCAAGGCUCACUUGUCCGCUGUUCACCACCUCAACCAACUCCCUCAUUGUCCAAUCAGCAGCCAGUUUCGGGGGAAGCACGGACCUACAGCAUCAACCAAUUAGAUACCAUCAAUGUGUUUCUAUGUAGUGACCCCAAUACUUUUGGAGGUGACUCAGCAAACUCCAAAAAGAAGAAAGCAUGCAAACAUGAGCAUCUGUUAUUAUGGACAAGGCGAUCUACAACACCCUCCAACCAGGCAGUGAGGUGUUCCUUUCAUUCCCUCCAUCUUACUGCUGACAAUACCUGUCUGUGCAGCCACAUGGACAUGAAGGAUAACAACUCCAGAUGCCUCUUACCAACCCAGUAACCCCGGCUACUCAACCACCCAGACACCCAGAGAGAUUCACAACAUCGAUCUUCAUAAAAGGACUGGAAACAACGGUUUGGAGAGGUGACAACCAGACCAGUCUGUCUUCCGCAUAACAAACUGAGAGACCACAUUGUGGCACUGACUUCGUUCUGAUCCACUUUACUGGAUUAUAAGAAAAAAGAGGACAUGGAGAUACAGGUGUGUCAGGAUGACCAUGUCCUACAUCAUCCAUCAGAAUGGAUUUGCAUGAAGAGUGACUCUAUCCUGGGGAGGAUGUGUAAAAACUGCAGUGUGGUGACAUGAGGAUCUUUGCUGGACGAGAAGAAAGAUAAACAAGGAAAAGUAACAACAGCCUAUAAUGGCAAAUGUCUCACGGUUAUUUUUGGCUACAUCGCUCUCUCGUUCAACAGCCCUGAUGAUAAGGAACAAUUUGAAGAUUCCUUCCCUCCCCAAAUAUCCGAUACCAGAGUGGUACUGAGUUACAUAUCUGCUUAGAUAUUUUGAUCUCCGUUAUGAGGAUAUUUGGGGAAUGUAGUUGUAGAGUUGAAGAUGUUUCACCAUUCAUAUGACAGGAGCUCACAUACACAUUUCACUUUCUGGAGAAGACAAUAAAAUAAGUUGGAGUGAAUGGAAGAUACUGUUGUACAGAUAAGCCUUUCAAACUGUUAUGCAACCUUUAAUGCAAAACUUCUCUAAAAGCAAAAUAGAAAACAAAAUAAUACAACCAUGAAACAGGAUGAUGUAUUUGUACUGAGCAUAAGGUAUAAGAUAUGGAGGCUUCACUGUGACAACUGAAGCUAACAUGUUGGAAGUGAAAAAGACGUUAUAUCUUACAGAUUGUUAAACAAAAACAUGUUAUAAAGCACAUACAUAUUAUGCAUACACUCACUCAGACAGAGAUGAUAAAACAAAUGCAGACAUGAGAAAUUGAUCGGUAUGCAAAUAUGAAACAGAAACAGUGUCUGUGGAUCUGCAGCACUGUGUGGUUACAGCUCAAUGUUAAAUGUUAACAUGCUACUAUUGUAGGAUUACAUGUACCUCACUUAACAUGCAUGGCUACCAGCAGAUUUCUCUCUUUCCCAUUACUGUCCUUCUUGAUGGAGUGAAGUUUGCCUCCCUCUUCACAAAUACCCGUCAGUCAUUUGCACAUCAGUAAAACAAAUUAUAUUCUUAGUUUUAUUAAGUGUUGGGGUUUGGCUUUAAGUUUGAUUAUAUAUAUUUCCAUAAUAUGUUUUUUUUCUAUAUCUAAGUUUUAAGUUUAAUUUGAGGAAUUCCUCUCUUUGUACAUUUACAAUCAUGAAUCAUAGUUCCUUAUCUUGAAAUCAAGUUUUGUAAAGGUGGACCUUUCUACUGUAUGACUUCUGUAAUAUAACUUCAUUAAAUUAAUAAGAAUGU
Sebastes umbrosus (honeycomb rockfish) is the source of this 4362-nucleotide long non-coding RNA. RefSeq lists it as uncharacterized. Lineage: Eukaryota; Metazoa; Chordata; Actinopteri; Perciformes; Sebastidae. The transcript has 2 exons. The record is from RefSeq and is a predicted model, not a curated record.